UACGGGGGGAGCAAGCGUUAAUCGGAAUUACUGGGCGUAAAGCGUGCGCAGGCGGUUUUGUAAGUCUGACGUGAAAUCCCCGGGCUCAACCUGGGAAUUGCGUUGGAGACUGCAAGGCUAGAAUCUGGCAGAGGGGGGUAGAAUUCCGACGUGUAGCAGUGAAAUGACGUAGAGAUGUGGAGGAACACCGAUGGCGAAGGCAGCCCCCUGGGACAAGAUUGACGCUCAUGCACGAAAGCGUGGGAG
This 246-nucleotide ribosomal RNA is filed under the name uncultured bacterium. RNAcentral describes it as "partial 16S ribosomal RNA". It matches the Rfam family "Bacterial small subunit ribosomal RNA", at positions 524 to 767 of the family's 1533-position model. The record is from RNAcentral.